UAGGGAAUCUUCGGCAAUGGGGGGAACCCUGACCGAGCAACGCCGCGUGAGUGAAGAAGGUUUUCGGAUCGUAAAGCUCUGUUGUUAAGGAAGAACGAGUGUGAGAAUGGAAAGUUCAUGCUGUGACGGUACUUAACCAGAAAGGGACGGCUAACUACGUGCCAGCAGCCGCGGUAAUACGUAGGUCCCGAGCGUUGUCCGGAUUUAUUGGGCGUAAAGCGAGCGCAGGCGGUUAGAAAAGUCUGAAGUGAAAGGCAGUGGCUCAACCAUUGUAGGCUUUGGAAACUGUUUAACUUGAGUGUAGAAGGGGAGAGUGGAAUUCCAUGUGUAGCGGUGAAAUGCGUAGAUAUAUGGAGGAACACCGGUGGCGAAAGCGGCUCUCUGGUCUGUAACUGACGCUGAGGCUCGAAAGCGUGGGGAGCGAACAGG
This 429-nucleotide ribosomal RNA is filed under the name Bacteroidota bacterium. RNAcentral's name for it is "Bacteroidetes bacterium partial 16S ribosomal RNA". It matches the Rfam family "Bacterial small subunit ribosomal RNA", at positions 355 to 776 of the family's 1533-position model. Lineage: Bacteria; Pseudomonadati; Bacteroidota. The record is from RNAcentral.